AAGAACUAGAAGAGCUGAACGUUGCUGCUCUGGCAAGCGGAAAUCUGAGUAGGGAGAAGAGGAGCAAAGGACGGCUGCCUCUUUUUUGAUAAGGUGGCAGAGGUGACACUGUGUCUUUUCUGGGUGAAGUACUUAAGAGACCUACCAGCUUUGACAGCUUUAACCUCCACCCUUGAAGGCAACCACCCUCUGAGGAAGCUCAGGACAGACUAUGACCACACAAAUGAGACCCCAGGCUCCCUGGUGACAGUCAGAACCGUGACCCCCAAUCUGUGUUACCAGGAACUGCCGUUCAGUAAAUGCUUACUGCUUUGAAAUAGGAUUGAAGUGACUAGGAACCCUGAAUCAAGUCCACUUUCAGGACAACAAACUGGGUAAAGUGUUUCACCCCAACCCUUCAAAGGUCUGGACUCAGAGCCAACUGGGGAACUUGACUGAUCAGGACAACGUACUUCAGAGGUGUUCAGAGAGC
This is a long non-coding RNA of Manis pentadactyla (Chinese pangolin), 472 nucleotides long. RefSeq lists it as uncharacterized. The transcript is spliced from 3 exons. NCBI's taxonomy places the organism in Eukaryota, Metazoa, Chordata, Mammalia, Pholidota, Manidae. The record is from RefSeq and is a predicted model, not a curated record.